GACGAACGCUGGCGGCGUGCUUAACACAUGCAAGUCGAGCGGUAAGGCCCUUUCGGGGGUACACGAGCGGCGAACGGGUGAGUAACACGUGGGUGACCUGCCCUCAGCUCUGGGAUAAGCCUGGGAAACCGGGUCUAAUACUGGAUAUGACUCCAUGACGCAUGUUGUGGGGUGGAAAGCCUUGUGCGGCUGAGGAUGGGCCCGCGGCCUAUCAGCUUGUUGGUGGGGUGAGGCCUACCAAGGCGACGACGGGUAGCCGGCCUGAGAGGCGACCGGCCACACUGGGACUGAGACACGGCCCAGACUCCUACGGGAGGCAGCAGUGGGGAAUCUUGCGCAAUGGGCGAAAGCCUGACGCAGCGACG
Molecule: ribosomal RNA, 365 nt
Filed under: uncultured bacterium
Lineage: Bacteria
Description: bacterial SSU rRNA
Rfam family: Bacterial small subunit ribosomal RNA
Source: RNAcentral